UGGGGAAUAUUGCACAAUGGGCGCAAGCCUGAUGCAGCCAUGCCGCGUGUGUGAAGAAGGCCUUCGGGUUGUAAAGCACUUUCAGCGAGGAGGAAGGUGGUGAGCUUAAUACGCUCAUCAAUUGACGUUACUCGCAGAAGAAGCACCGGCUAACUCCGUGCCAGCAGCCGCGGUAAUACGGAGGGUGCAAGCGUUAAUCGGAAUUACUGGGCGUAAAGCGCACGCAGGCGGUUUGUUAAGUCAGAUGUGAAAUCCCCGGGCUCAACCUGGGAACUGCAUUUGAAACUGGCAAGCUAGAGUCUCGUAGAGGGGGGUAGAAUUCCAGGUGUAGCGGUGAAAUGCGUAGAGAUCCGGAGGAAUACCGGUGGCGAAGGCGGCCCCCUGGACGAAGACUGACGCUCAGGUGCGAAAGCGUGGGGCAGCAAACAGGAUUAGAUACCCUGGUAGUCCACGCUGUAAACGAUGUCGAUUUUGGAGGUUGUGCCCUUGAGGCGUGGCUUCCGGAGCUAACGCGUUAAAUCGACCGCCUGGGGAGUACGGCCGCAAGGUUAAAACUCAAAUGAAUUGACGGGGUC
RNAcentral lists this ribosomal RNA (575 nucleotides) under uncultured bacterium. RNAcentral's name for it is "partial 16S ribosomal RNA". It matches the Rfam family "Bacterial small subunit ribosomal RNA", at positions 355 to 920 of the family's 1533-position model. The record is from RNAcentral.